RNAcentral lists this ribosomal RNA (253 nucleotides) under uncultured bacterium. Its description in RNAcentral is "partial 16S ribosomal RNA". It matches the Rfam family "Bacterial small subunit ribosomal RNA", at positions 524 to 776 of the family's 1533-position model. The record is from RNAcentral.
UACGUAGGGGGCUAGCGUUGUCCGGAAUCAUUGGGCGUAAAGGGCGCGUAGGCGGCUUACCAAGUCAGGCGUGAAAUUCCCGGGCUCAACCUGGGGGCUGCGCUUGAUACUGGUGAGCUUGAAUGCGGGAGAGGAUAGUGGAAUUCCCAGUGUAGAGGUGAAAUUCGUAGAUAUUGGGAAGAACACCGGUGGCGAAGGCGGCUCUCUGGGCCUUUCCUGACGCUGAGACGCGAAAGCGUGGGGAGCGAACCGG